This 428-nucleotide ribosomal RNA is filed under the name uncultured bacterium. RNAcentral's name for it is "bacterial SSU rRNA". It matches the Rfam family "Bacterial small subunit ribosomal RNA", at positions 355 to 776 of the family's 1533-position model. The record is from RNAcentral.
UAGGGAAUAUUGCACAAUGGGGGAAACCCUGAUGCAGCCAUGCCGCGUGUGUGAAGAAGGCCCUAGGGUUGUAAAGCACUUUCAGUAGGGAGGAAUUAGUUUAGUUAAUAGCUAUAUGAAAUGACGUUACCUACAGAAGAAGUACCGGCUAACUCCGUGCCAGCAGCCGCGGUAAUACGGAGGGUACGAACGUUAAUCGGAAUUACUGGGCGUAAAGCGCGCGUAGGCGGUUUAUUAAGUGGGAUGUGAAAGCCCCGGGCUCAACCUGGGAACUGCAUUUCAAACUGAUAGACUAGAGUACGAUAGAGGGGGGUAGAAUUCAGAGUGUAGCGGUGAAAUGCGUAGAUAUUCUGAGGAAUACCGGUGGCGAAGGCGGCCCCCUGGAUUGAUACUGACGCUGAGGUGCGAAAGCGUGGGGAGCAAACAGG